This 287-nucleotide ribosomal RNA is filed under the name Mesomycoplasma ovipneumoniae. RNAcentral describes it as "Mycoplasma ovipneumoniae partial 16S ribosomal RNA". It matches the Rfam family "Bacterial small subunit ribosomal RNA", at positions 116 to 395 of the family's 1533-position model. The record is from RNAcentral. Lineage: Bacteria; Bacillati; Mycoplasmatota; Mycoplasmoidales; Metamycoplasmataceae.
CGUACCUAACCUACCUUUUGGACCGGGAUAACUAUUGGAAACAGCAGCUAAUACCGGAUAAAAUAAAAAAAUGCAUGUUUUUUUAUUAAAAGGAGCCUUUAAAGCUCCACCAAAAAAUGGGGGUGCGCAACAUUAGUUAGUUGGUAGGGUAAAGGCCUACCAAGACGAUGAUGUUUAGCGGGGCCAAGAGGCUGUACCGCCACACUGGGAUUGAGAUACGGCCCAGACUCCUACGGGAGGCAGCAGUAAGGAAUAUUCCACAAUGAGCGAAAGCUUGAUGGAGCGAC